Molecule: ribosomal RNA, 443 nt
Filed under: uncultured bacterium
Lineage: Bacteria
Description: partial 16S ribosomal RNA
Rfam family: Bacterial small subunit ribosomal RNA
Source: RNAcentral
CCUACGGGUAGCAGCAGUGGGGAAUAUUGGGCAAUGGGCGCAAGCCUGACCCAGCAACGCCGCGUGAAGGAAGAAGGCUCUCGGGUUGUAAACUUCUUUUCUCAGGGACGAAGCAUGUGACGGUACCUGAGGAAUAAGCCACGGCUAACUACGUGCCAGGAGCCGCGGCAAUACGUAGGUGGCAAGCGUUAUCCGGAUUUACUGGGUGUAAAGGGCGUGUAGGCGGGACUGCAAGUCAGAUGCGAAAACCAUGGGCUCAACCUAUGGCCUGCAUUUGAAACUGGAGUUCUUGAGUACUGGAGAGGCAGGCGGAAUUCCUGGUGUAGCGGUGAAAUGCGUAGAUAGUAGGAAGAACACCGGUGGCGAAGGCAGUAUGCUGGACAGCAACUGACGCUGAGGCGCGAAAGCGUGGGGAGCAAACAGGAUUAGAUACCCGGGUAGUC